GUGUCGCUUCCCUUGGUGUGGUGUGAGGAAGCUGGAGCAGCUCAGUGGUUCCUAGAACUUUGUGUUGUGUCAGGACGUGGCGAGUGGUAUCGAGGCCCCACUUGAAGUGUGCUACCUCCCCCUCCAGCGGCCAGCAGGUGUGUCGCCUUUCAUGACUGGCGGGAAGUACAGGGACGUGUUUUGAAUCUACAUCGUACGAGAGAAAGAUGUACAGUGGCUUUCCAAUGGAUUAAGCAGAGAAGGUGACGUAUACAACACAGCGAGAGUUACAGGUGAAUUUUGCUUCAAGUGACGUCUCAAUUGAAUCACAAAUGCCCUACAUCCAAGAACUAGUGAGUGUCUGUGACGUGGUUCUGUUAGCAUGCAGGUGUACAGGUGUGACGUCCAGCCUCGACACGUGGUGGCGUGAUCUAUGUUUUCAUGGCUAGAUGGUGUAAGUGCCGCCACGACCACCUGACCCGCAACACGCUAUAUUACAGAUUUCACCUUAGCACCACAUCCCUUGCGUCUCACUCCACUGCACCUUCAGUACCACCACCACCACCUCCUCCUCCUCCACUGCCGCCGCCGCGCUGCCGCCCUCACCGCUCAGCCACGCCCCCUCGUGGCCACACCCACCACCCUGCUGCGCCGAAACAAAUGCAUCCGCUGUGCUUUCCUGCACGUAUUUGGGUGUAUGAGGCAACAAAUGUUCCUUGUAGCACAAGAGUAUCCAUUGUCAGAUGGAAUAUUCAGAUGUAGCUUGACCUCCCUCCGGCCAAUGCUGCCAACAACACCAGUUUGUCCAAGGCGGGAAAAUAAAACUAAAAAAGAAAAAAAAGAAAAAGAAAAAAAAAGCCACGGACGAGCAUGAGAACACAAUACUGAAGAUUUAUAAAUUUCAGAGGGGUAUAGUGCAACUUCUGGUACAGGCAAACGUAUAUGUGUGUAUAAGUGGAGUUGGCUGUUGUUUGUUAUGCAUUUUAUGUGAAUAGUUUGUUGAUUAUUCAUGUCGCGCUUAAUGUAUGCAGGACUGAUGAGUGAAUUGUGAAGUGAGGCACUAUCGGUUAUUUCAUUUGUUGAAAUAUAUAACAACAUUCACACGGCCGUGCUGCAUGUAUGUAGCUGCUGCUUGCUGUGUGUGUGUGUGUGUGUGUGUGUGUGUGUGUGUGUGUGUGUGUGUGCCCGUUAGUUCAACAUCGUUCCAUCCAGUUGCAUUAUAAUCUUAACAACACAUCACCGCCGCCGCCACCAUCAUACCACCACCACCAUUUCACUUCACCACCAUUACAAACAUACACCCACUACUCACAUCAACUACACCUCCACCCAUGAAGCUGUACAGCUCUGCCAUCCAGCACCACAUCAUCACCACACCUCCGCGGCCUCCCCUCAUCACCGCAUCCAUCACCACUCCAGCAUGAACGGUGUGAACACGUGAUGCAUGGCGGUGUAAAUCAAGAAGUCAAAUUGUCUCUCUCUCUCUCUCUCUCUCUCUCUCUCUCUCUCUCUCUCUCUCUCUCUCUCUCUCUCUCUCUCUCUCUCUCUCUCUCUCUCUCUCUCUCUCAAUAUCUAUCUAUCUUAGGAUAUUUUCUGAAAGGUUUUCAAUACGGGUAAUCGUGUUUACUUAAUUUCUGGAAGUCACAAAUACCAAGUUACAUGGAUCUAGAUCCUUUGUAUUAUUUUGUUAUGUGCACACCAGAAUAUAGUUACAAUUAAGUUACGUAUUUCCUGUGUGUGUGUGUGUGUGUGUGUGUGUGUGUGUGUGUGUGUGUGUGUGUGUGUGUGUGUGUGUGUGUGUGUGUGUGUGUGUGUGUGUGUGUGUGUGUGUGUGUGUGUGUGUGUGUGUGUGUGUAACGACGCAGUUUGAAAGAAAGUAUUGUUCGCAGCGGCGACGAACGAGUGCGGCAUUUUUUUCCGGUGAGUGACAGAGAGAUUUCUUUCACAGUGAACGAGAGAGAGAGAGAGAGAGAGAGAGAGAGAGAGAGAGAGAGAGAGAGAGAGAGAGAGAGAGAGAGAGAAUGAACAAGUGAAUACCACACGCAAGAGAGGAGUUGUCAUUCAAGUUUGGUGAUAAAGACUGGAAUAAUGUUGCGUCUCCUGAAUAUAAUCGACACCAGGAGAAGACGGACGCGCUUUAGACUCAUAGGGAUAUUGGAUUGACACACCUUCAAGCAGCACCACUACAGUGUAGAGGGUAGACCAAGGGUGACGGGUCCUGAAGGAUUGUGGCUUAGCGGUGAAUGACAUCUGGGGAACCUUACUGAGUACUUUCCAUCGCACCCUAAGAAAAUAUAAAGAGCAAGACACUUAUCCUUGUAGAACUGACACCUCAUUGGGCCUUUUUUUCGUUCGUUAUGUUGCUCUAGGCCAGUGCUCCUGUUACAAAAAGAAUGAAAAA
Molecule: long non-coding RNA, 2380 nt
Organism: Scylla paramamosain (green mud crab)
Lineage: Eukaryota; Metazoa; Arthropoda; Malacostraca; Decapoda; Portunidae
Exons: 4
Source: RefSeq, a predicted model, not a curated record